Molecule: ribosomal RNA, 300 nt
Filed under: uncultured eukaryote
Lineage: Eukaryota
Description: partial 18S ribosomal RNA
Rfam family: Eukaryotic small subunit ribosomal RNA
Source: RNAcentral
CCCUUAGAUGUUCUGGGCUGCACGCGCGCUACACUGAUGCGCUCAACGAGUUUACGACCUUGCCCGGAAGGGUUGGGUAAUCUUUUUAAAACGCAUCGUGAUGGGGAUAGAUUAUUGCAAUUAUUAAUCUUUAACGAGGAAUUCCUAGUAAGCGCGAGUCAUCAGCUCGUGCUGAUUACGUCCCUGCCCUUUGUACACACCGCCCGUCGUUUCUUCCGACUGGUACUCAUUGUGAAUUGCGAGGAGAUUCUGUCAAAUCGUUGUAAAUGCUGGGUAUUGGAGGAAGAAAAAGUCGUAACA